Molecule: ribosomal RNA, 541 nt
Filed under: Antedon bifida
Lineage: Eukaryota; Metazoa; Echinodermata; Crinoidea; Comatulida; Antedonidae
Description: partial 16S ribosomal RNA
Rfam family: Bacterial large subunit ribosomal RNA
Source: RNAcentral
CGCCCCUAGAAACAACUUUGAUAAGGGGUAAUGCCUGCCCAGUGACAAAAGUUAAACGGCCGCGGUAUCUUGACCGUGCAAAGGUAGCAUAAUCAUUUGUUCUUUAAUUGAGGACUUGUAUGAAUGGCAAGACGAAAGCCUAACUGUCUCCCUCUUAAAAAAAGAAAUUGUUUUAUUUGUGAAGAAACGAAUAUAAAAACGUAAGACGAGAAGACCCUGUCGAGCUUAAGAAAAUUUUUAUAAAAAAAUUAUUAUCUGACCUUCAAUAACUAUUAUUAAAUAAAAAUAUCUUUGGUUGGGGCAACCGCGAAGAAAAAACAACCUUCGAUAAACAAAAAAAAUUAACAAAUUUAAAAAUUUUUAAAAAAUAAAAGAUCCAGAAAUACUGAUCAAAGAAAAAAGUUACCGCAGGGAUAACAGCGUUAUUCUCUUUGAGAGUUCUUAUUGACAAGAGAGUUUGCGACCUCGAUGUUGGACCGGGGCACCUUAGAGGAGCAAAAACCUCUAAAAGUAGGUCUGUUCGACCUUUAAAGCCCUACGC